RNAcentral lists this ribosomal RNA (1337 nucleotides) under uncultured bacterium. Its description in RNAcentral is "bacterial SSU rRNA". It matches the Rfam family "Bacterial small subunit ribosomal RNA", at positions 28 to 1381 of the family's 1533-position model. The record is from RNAcentral.
GACGAACGCUCGUUGCGUGCUUAACACAUGCAAGUCGAACGGAAAGGCCCUUCGGGGUACUCGAGUGGCGAACGGGUGAGUAACACGUGGGUGAUCUGCCCUGCACUUUGGGAUAAGCCUGGGAAACUGGGUCUAAUACCGAAUAGGACCACGCGCUUCAUGGUGUGUGGUGGAAAGCUUUUGCGGUGUGGGAUGGGCCCGCGGCCUAUCAGCUUGUUGGUGGGGUAAUGGCCUACCAAGGCGACGACGGGUAGCCGGCCUGAGAGGGUGACCGGCCACACUGGGACUGAGAUACGGCCCAGACUCCUACGGGAGGCAGCAGUGGGGAAUAUUGCACAAUGGGCGCAAGCCUGAUGCAGCGACGCCGCGUGAGGGAUGACGGCCUUCGGGUUGUAAACCUCUUUCAAUAGGGACGAAGCGCAAGUGACGGUACCUAUAGAAGAAGCACCGGCCAACUACGUGCCAGCAGCCGCGGUAAUACGUAGGGUGCGAGCGUUGUCCGGAAUUACUGGGCGUAAAGAGCUCGUAGGUGGUUUGUCGCGUUGUUCGUGAAAACUCACAGCUUAACUGUGGGCGUGCGGGCGAUACGGGCAGACUAGAGUACUGCAGGGGAGACUGGAAUUCCUGGUGUAGCGGUGGAAUGCGCAGAUAUCAGGAGGAACACCGGUGGCGAAGGCGGGUCUCUGGGCAGUAACUGACGCUGAGGAGCGAAAGCGUGGGGAGCGAACAGGAUUAGAUACCCUGGUAGUCCACGCCGUAAACGGUGGGUGCUAGGUGUGGGUUCCUUCCUUGGGAUCCGUGCCGUAGCUAACGCAUUAAGUACCCCGCCUGGGGAGUACGGCCGCAAGGCUAAAACUCAAAGGAAUUGACGGGGGCCCGCACAAGCGGCGGAGCAUGUGGAUUAAUUCGAUGCAACGCGAAGAACCUUACCUGGGUUUGACAUGCACAGGACGCCGGCAGAGAUGUCGGUUCCCUUGUGGUCUGUGUGCAGGUGGUGCAUGGCUGUCGUCAGCUCGUGUCGUGAGAUGUUGGGUUAAGUCCCGCAACGAGCGCAACCCUUGUCCUAUGUUGCCAGCGGGUUAUGCCGGGGACUCGUAGGAGACUGCCGGGGUCAACUCGGAGGAAGGUGGGGAUGACGUCAAGUCAUCAUGCCCCUUAUGUCCAGGGCUUCACACAUGCUACAAUGGCCGGUACAAAGGGCUGCGAUGCCGUGAGGUGGAGCGAAUCCUUUCAAAGCCGGUCUCAGUUCGGAUCGGGGUCUGCAACUCGACCCCGUGAAGUCGGAGUCGCUAGUAAUCGCAGAUCAGCAACGCUGCGGUGAAUACGUUCCCGGGCCU